This 5099-nucleotide long non-coding RNA is filed under the name Chlamydomonas reinhardtii. Its description in RNAcentral is "long non-coding RNA (CREI_LNC000308)". The record is from RNAcentral. Lineage: Eukaryota; Viridiplantae; Chlorophyta; Chlorophyceae; Chlamydomonadales; Chlamydomonadaceae.
AGGGCCAACAGCCGCCACAGCAGCAGCGGCAUUCCACAGGCUACUGGCCAUGCUUUGCAAGCGAGCAGCAGGUGUGGAUAAAGCGCGACGGCAGCGGCGGCGCCGACCCCGCGCCCGCAACCUUCAGCCAGGCCGGCCCAGUUUCAGCUUCAGGGACCGGUGGCGUGGCGGGUGCGCGCGCUGGUGCGUCGGCCUCUGACGCACAUGCCUUUUACUCGGGCACGGGCUCGUCAGGGCCGAGCACUCGGUUCUCAAGCGUCACUGCCAUGAGCGGCGCCGGUGCGCCUGGUGGCGGCGGUGUUGCAGAAGAGGCUGACGUGGACGAUCCCAUGAUUGCGGCGGCUGCGGCGGCCUACUGGGGCUCGGCAGCCGCUCCUGAGUCGGCAAAGGAGGUGGCUGCUGGUGUUGCGGGCGCUUGGGUUAUGCGGGGCGGCGCAGCCCACGGCCUCACCGCCUCCAGCCCAGGAGCAGGCGACGGCGGUAUGCAACAGCAGCUGCAGCCACACUACCAGUACCAGCCGCCUCACACGAGCAGUCCGCAGCGCUACGUCACGGCAGCGGCUGCGGAGCCUACCGGUGCCGCCGCAGCGUCCGGCUCCCACAACGGCGGCGGCAGCACCUCAGGAUCCAUGCGCUUCUGUCGCUUCGCAGCCGCGCCGCCUGCGCUUGGCGUGCCGGGCACGGGGGUCGCGUCCGCUCGGCCGAACAGCACGCGCCCCGGCAAUCCUCCUCGGCGGCUGUCCUCUUAGGCUGACGCAAGGCCAGCAUCUCCAAUCGGCCUUGUAACGGGACCGUAUGAAGGCUCGGCAGGGGUCGCUGGAGUCAGGGUCAAGUCUGGGUCAAGUCCGGCGGGUGGUGCCAAACCGUACUCUACGGGUUGUAGACUGAUGGGCUGGAGUGCACGCAUAUGGCAUACCGUUUUGGGAAUUUUAUAUGAUUUAACUAAACGCGCGCUGCCGUUAUUGCAGCGUGCUCCGCAUCAUACUAUCUCGAUUUUCACAUUUUAAUAAAGGAACGUCCAUUUCGUUGGGCCUGAGUGUCUGGAUGUUGUACCGGUUGAGCUGUCUCUAUCUCCGUGAGGUUGCAAAGGGGAGAACCACACCGGCGGGUGGGGGGACCACACCAGGCGAGGUCCCUGCACCGCAAGAUGGCCAGGAUGUGCUGACAGGGAACGUUGCUACUGUAGCUAGUCCCACGACGCCAAGUCGCGGGAGGGCUAUCGGAGUAGGGCUGAGGAUGGCGCGUGUCAGAUGGCGACCAUACCCGGCACCGGCAUGUUGUACUGUGACACGCCACACAUGGGGCUGGUGCGGACGGCUUGACAAGCUUACAUACAUCACAAGCUGCGGGGGGCACGCCGAUUGCGUUGCCUAGACCUGACAUUGAAUCCGCGAGCGUGUGACUGGAGGUCACCAGCAAAAGUUUGACGGGUCUAAUGAAUAACAGCUCACACGGGGGAUACGGUACGCGUGGAUGGGCUAGUCGAAAAGUGCUUCGGAGGAUCUGGCAGCACUUUCGGCCACUAGUGCAAUCUCAACACGGGCGGGCUUGGGGGGGCACGGCGGACUUGGUGGGGUUGUCGGGAACUGCGAGGCCUGAGCUAGGAGGCCGUAUUUAGGAGGCCGCUGCGGGCCACGAGUGAGUUGCAAGGCUGCUUCAGGCAUGAGUGGAGGCUAUCGUCGCACCGAGAGAUUGGGUUGUCGUUUGGGCCGUGGCGGUUUGCAGCGCUACACGGCAGUAAGGUGUCAAUAAGUGCUUCGGAGGAGGCUGCCAUGGGGAGGUCGCUCCUGUCAGGGUCAGAUCAGAUUUGCGGAUCGCGGGUGCGGGCUGUCACGCAGCCAGGUGAAGGCUGUCACACGCAGCCACAUAAUGGCUGACAUAGUACUUGGACUGAAUGCCAAUAAUGGCGCAAUGUCAGUAACCCCUGUGAACAAGAAGUGGCUGAGCCCACGCCUGUGUGACAAAAGCAGUCUACCGGCAAUUCUUGACCCUGACGCUUCGAGCAUUUCAUUCAUCUGGGGUUUUGACAUGUCUCUAUGUAUUUUAAACGACCGUCAUGAACACCAUCAGUGGCUGACUCGGCUCGGCGUGCUGCACUCCUGCCGUACACAACAUCGCGCACGUGGCGUGCUGGUGUGCGCUGUGCGCCUGCACGGAUGCAGCGCCCGGUACAUGAUGAGGACAUAUGCGGGCAGUAGCUGGGUAUACAGGACUGCGGACGGGGGCGGGGCGCACCGGCAACACAAGGCGGAGUAUGAGUGUUAGUGUUUGGUUUGGGGCGUUGGUUGAUGCGCCGCCCGGAUCAACCGCCACCCGGAUCGGCAAGGUAUGGCGACAUGCACCUGAGUGAUGAUGAAUUAUGUAUCGACUCAGCAGGAUGCGACUAAGCGUAGAAGUUACACGGGGAGUGACCUACAAAGUGACGACGUUAAGGCUGUGGAAUGUGGCACGUGCAGCAGGGUGUGUGUGUUUAGGAAAUAAAGGGCCAGACCCCAUGCCCAGAAAUCCCCCGGGACCCCCCUUGAGGGGACGACCGACCCCCCCCCGGACACAAUCUUGUUGUUUCAGGUUGUUUAGGGGUUGAACCCCCUCCAUUUAAUACCAAAGUGGCGUCAAUCGACUCCUCGUGACGAGCACUAUCACUCCGUGCCAUCAGCGGUCCUGUUCUGAGACAUCGGUCACCGGCGGGAUCCUAUCCAUGGAAAUCCCUUCGACCCAGCCCACCCCGCGUGCAACUCUCUGCAAUUUGAUGUAUGGACAGCGUGCAUCGGCAGCCUUGUUUACAAUGACUUCAUGCGCACCAGCGCUUGAGAGCCCCGCCACGUCAGGCGCGUGUGUCAAACGUGGGGAUCAUGUUUACGCCAGGACGCGCAAAUCAGCCCUCCCACACUUUGUUUGUGCUUUUUCCUGCAUAACUGCAUGUCUGGGCCUCGUCGUGCUGCGUUUGUCCCCUAGUUCAGCUUGUGGUGCGCUUCCCGAAAUCCUGGGAUGGACUCCCAAAACCCGGCGGACCCCCAGGGACGACCCCCAAAGUUGGCGGCCCAGAAUUUCCUCGCCAAACCACCCCUGACCAAACUAAAUGUACGUGUGUAAUGCUCUCCGGAAGCUCUACAGUUUUGAGCAUGGGGUAAGAUUCUGAGCUGUCUACGCUCCCCCCCCCACCCCGGCGUGCAGCCCCACACCGUGCCCCACACGGGGAAUGCUGGCCUAGAUGAGGGCCCAGGAGGGAGUCUGUGCACUGCCCGACAAAGAUUUCCAGGGGACGGCUGCUGCACUGAAGGGCCUCUAAUGUACUGGAAGGAACCGCACAGGCGAGGUGCAAGCACACGGCAGCCGAGGCUGAAGCUGGCGGAAAACAACGCGCAGUGCCUGCACCGUGUCGCCGCGUGGCUCAAUACACAGGAAAUGUAAAAGUUACUCCAUGUGUUGACAAAACCUGCGCACAAGUCGUGCGGCUGUUGGAACUGUCAGGAGAAACCGGUCAUCCCGACAGGCUCGUCGGUCUGGCCGUUUCUCGGCCCCCUGCGACUAAGACGUUAACCUAGGCUUGUGCCACGCUUGAAAAUAGUAUGCCAUGCAAUUAGAAUAACGUUUGCCCGGUUUGGGUUUCUGUUCAAACCGCUGCAACUUUCUGCUGCUACAUAAAUGGACGUGGAAUCCCGCCUAGCCGAGCUGCGAGACGAGUAUGAGCGCAGUCGGGCGUUCCUGGCGCAGCUCGAGUGGUCACUCAAGGUUCGGGAGCCCGAGCCAGAAGAGUCAGAGGCCCGCCGAGGCGAGGGACAUGACAGUACUGCGAAGCUUGAAGAUUCAGCGCGUGUGCCGAAGCUGGACGCGCACCCAGCGUCGCCCCAGCCGCAAGCCAUUGGGGAACGUGAAGCCACGGCGACGUCGCCAUUCAAAACUGCGCACAAAGGACUGGGUUCACGCUUCACUGGAUGGAUUAAGAACAAACUCGCGCCGGGCGGGCACGACGACGCUCCCUCGUUUACCCGCUGCACCAAAUCGUGUGUGCAGCCUGCUCGCCGUCGGGCUUCCUUCGCCACCGUCAACCUGGACCUUGGCGGUGCGCUCGGCGGCAUGGGCGGUGUGGCAGUCGCGACCUACAGCCCCGGCGCAGCCAUCCAAGUCAAUGGCCAGCUAAGCUACGGCCAGGUGCCGCAGGGCGCGCCGUCGCCAGUGGGCCACUGCAACAGCCCCGGCGGCGUGCCCUCGCCAAGCGGGGGUUCAUUCACGCUGUCGUCGGCCGCCGGCGGCCGCGGCCGGGCACCCAUGUCGCGCCGCGCCAGUUUCGUAACUUCAACCAUAAUGCGUUCUUCAGCCAGCAACCAGGUGCAUCCCCAGCCGGGCGGGUGCGGCGACGGCGAUGGGGACGGGGAUGGUGUGCUGCUGAACACGGAUGAGAACGGGGUGGCGGUGAGAGGGCCGGGGCUGGCGGCACCGACGGCGUCAGGUCGCCUCAGUGGCGUGCUGGGGUCAGGCCAGGCCGGUCCGAUCGUGCCGCUGCAUGUCGCGCCCGCCAGCGCACCGCCUUUACAGCGCUUCCCGCUGCGUCGCUCGUCCCUAGACGAAAGGCGCCCAGCCGCCACCGCCGUCGCUGCGAGCGGCAGCAGCAGGGGGCUUGUGCCCUCCGGUCAGCGGCGCGCCAGCAUGGACCUCCAGCGGUCGCCGCCCAUGGCUCUGUCCACAACGACAGGAGCCGGACCUAACGGGGCACUGCCUGCAGUAAGCGGGGCAGAGGUGGCAGCGGCGGUGCCUGAUGAGUUGACGGAGGUGCAACCGCAAUUUCUACCGUCAGUGAACGCUGCCCAGGGCCAGCAGCCGCCACAGCAGCGCUUGUGGCAACAUGUGCAACAACAGCAACAGCAACAGCCGCCACAGCAGCAGCGGCAUUUCACAGGCUACCGGCCAUGCUUCGCAAGCGAGCAGCAGGUGUGGAUAAAGCGCGACGGCAGCGGCGGCGCCGACCCCGCGCCCGCAACCUUCAGCCAGGCUGGCCCAGUUUCAGCUUCAGGGACCGGUGGCGUGGCGGCUGCGCGCGCUGGUGCGUCGGCCUCUGACACACAUGCCUUUUACUCGGGUGCGGGGUCAUCGGGACCGCG